RNAcentral lists this ribosomal RNA (465 nucleotides) under uncultured bacterium. RNAcentral's name for it is "bacterial SSU rRNA". It matches the Rfam family "Bacterial small subunit ribosomal RNA", at positions 338 to 795 of the family's 1533-position model. The record is from RNAcentral.
CCUACGGGUCGCAGCAGUGGGGAAUAUUGCAUAAUGGGCGCAAGCCUGAUGCAGCCAUGCCGCGUGUAUGAAGAAGGCCUUCGGGUUGUAAAGUACUUUCAGCGGGGAGGAAGGCGAUAAGGUUAAUAACCUUGUCGAUUGACGUUACCCGCAGAAGAAGCGCCGGCUAACUCCGUGCCAGCAGCCGCGGUAAUACGGAGGGUGCAAGCGUUAAUCGGAAUUACUGGGCGUAAAGCGCACGCAGGCGGUCUGUCAAGUCGGAUGUGAAAUCCCCGGGCUCAACCCGGGAACUGCAUUCGAAACUGGCAGGCUGGAGUCUUGUAGAGGGGGGUAGAAUUCCAGGUGUAGCGGUGAAAUGCGUAGAGAUCUGGAGGAAUACCGGUGGCGAAGGCGGCCCCCUGGACAAAGACUGACGCUCAGGUGCGAAAGCGUGGGGAGCAAACAGGAUUAGGUACCCUUGUAGUC